This 7848-nucleotide long non-coding RNA is filed under the name Lactuca sativa (garden lettuce). RNAcentral describes it as "long non-coding RNA (LSAT_LNC006943)". The record is from RNAcentral. Lineage: Eukaryota; Viridiplantae; Streptophyta; Magnoliopsida; Asterales; Asteraceae.
AGUUUUUGAAACAUAACAUAUCCUAAGAUCAUAAAAUCAAAUUCUCUCUCUAGUGUGUACGAGUCACGCCGGCGCCUUCCCACGGUCCUCGCUAGUACCUGAAACACAUAACACAACAACUGUAAGCAUAAAUGCUUAGUGAGUUCCCCAAAAUACCGUAUACAACACAUACGCCACUCGAGGCUAUAAUACGACCCUCCGGUCGAUGUGUCUCAGCGGGACCCCUAGUCCCGUAGCUCGUUGGACCCUCUGGUCCGGUCAUAGCUCGUUGGACCCUCCGGUCCGGUCUAUAACAUCAUACAACACACAUAUAUCACAUAGCACAUAAUCUCAUACGUAACACAUAAGACCCUCUGGUCAACACAUAAUACCACUCUAGGUAACGUAUAGUGAGAAGACUCACCUCAGGUGUCUCGGUAAGUCUCUGUCUCGGUAGAAAUGUGAUGUAGCCUCCGCCUAAUCACAUAAAGUAAAUACUCUCAUAAAUAUAACUAUACUCCAACCUUUCUUAACAUCCUCAGUAGGGUAAAAGACCAUUUUACCCUUCUCUUGGCUUAAAGGCCUCACUAUUGACCAAACCCUAAAAGUCAACAAAAGUCAACGGCCAAACUUUGACCCGACUCGUCGAGUGCACUUGGGCGACUCGGCGAGUCUACACGUGUCCAUUGACUUUCUUAGUCCAUCUCUUGGCACGUUGAGUCCUUCCCCUUACUCGACGAGUCACACCUGACAUGAAUCGCGGGGCCACCCUGACUCAACUCGCCGAGUCUCAAGAACAACUCGACGAGUUCCGCCUUGAACUCCAGUCCCCUAACUCUCCCUGACUCACCGAGUUAUUUCCCCAACUCGGCAAAUCUACUCACUGAGUGAUUUACGGGAAACCCUCAUCCUACUCGCUGAGUCGUUCUUCGGACUCGGCGAGUUCACGCCAUGCACAAACUCCAUAGACCUCCUAGGGUCAGAUAUGUUCCUUUAAUUCAUAGAUCUGGCCUUCCCAAGCAUGAUAAUCACGUAAAGUUCAGACCUUGACACUCAUUUAUCAUCUACAUGGUCUAACUUAGUGAUUUAUCCCUAAAAAUGACAUCCUAAGCUCAUGGCUCCCAAAAUAACCCAUAAAGCUGCAAGGGUUAAGGUCUCUGGACCUCUUUGGGUCCAGAUCCAAAGCAUAGACUCGAGAAGGGACCAAUUGCUCCACUUAUCCAUCCUCUAAAGGGGUUAGAAAACCCUAACUCUAAUAAUCAACACCCAAAACUGAAGAAGGUCCGAAUGAAUACCUCAAUAUGAACUCUAUGAACUCUGAAGUCACCAAAAUCGCACCUCCUUCAGCCUCCUCUUGCCUUGGUCACCUCCUUGCAAAUACACCAACAAAAGGAUCAAGAAUGGCUUCUCCUUCCUCACAAUCGCUCUAGAUCUCUUAGGGGUUCUCUCUGGGGUUUGGUAGCCGCAAAUGACGGCCUUAAGGGCCUUUAAAUAGGUCCCAGACCCAAGAAAUUAGGGUUUCAUUAGACAGCAUGGACUCGUCGAGUCCACUAAUGAACUCGACGAUUCCGACUGUGAACCCGGAUACGAAUCCGCGACCACACUCGGCGAGUUUAAACACCAACUCGCCGAGUGUACUCACAAUCUCCAAAAAUAAAGGAGUAAAAUAUUAUACCUAGGAAUCCGAAUGUUUCAUUCUUUUUCUUUAUUUAUUUGUUCUUGGAUUUUCUUGUCAAUUGUUUUAUUAUUUGCUAAUCUAGUUUCUAAGUCAAUCCAUGACCUCCUAUUAAGAAUGUGUCUGUUAUUUGCUUCACGUCUUUUUAGUAUACUAGAAAUAUUAUUCCAAUCAUUGUUACCUUUAUGUGCUAAUGAACAUAUAGAUGUAUUCACAUUAAAUAAUUUACAACAAAAAUAAAAAACUUUAUCUACAUCUAUGGAAUAAACCAACCAUGUUCGUUCGUAUUUUUCUCUAUUUGGUAUAUUUUGCAUAUAAAGAGAUGUACUAAAGCUUCUUAAAUGUUGAUCUUUUAGAAAUUUAAAAUCAUAAAUUUUAAUAGGACCUUUUUCUACAAUUAAAUCUCUUAAAUUAGUACUAAUAUUAUUCCAUCUACUUGGAUCAUAUAUGUUUAAAGGCAUGUUAUUAUUUUCACUAUUAGUUUGUUCAUUAUCAAUUUUAAUAUUAGUUUGUUUGUUAUCAUUUUCACUAUUAGUUUGUUCGUUAUCAAUUUCAAUAUUAGUUUGUUCGUUAUCGUUUUCACUAUUAGUUUGUUCGUUAUCAAUUUCAAUAUUAGUUUGUUCGUUAUCAUUUUUACUAUUAGUUUGUUCGUUAUCAAUUUCAAUAUUCGUUUGUUUAAUAUUAUUAUCAACAUUAGUUUGUUCUGGUUCAUUAUCAACAUUAGUUUGUUCUUGUUCAUUAUCAACAUUUUUGUUUGUAGUUAAAUAUUUUAAAAAUGACCCUUUUUAUUUAUCUAUAAAAGCUUAUUCUUGCAUUUUUCGUUUCCUUUUUGAGGCACUGGAUUUGUAUUUUCUCUUUGACAUGAUUAUUAAUUAUUUAAUUAAUAAUAACUAUAAGUAUAGAAGAUACGAAUUAGGAUUAUACUGCCCCUGAGAUAAUGGAAAGCUCAAAAACAAUGGAAUCUGCCAAUCUGGAAUCAGUGAACAAUGGAAUCUGGAAUCUAUAAACAAUGGAAUCAAUGAACAAUGGAAUGGGCCAAUCUAGAAUAAAAAAUCAUAAAAUUGAAAAGAUUAACAACUUUGAUCAUUCAUGCCAUUUGGAUAAAUCCAAAAACAAUUAAAAUACAAAUUACAUAACUUGAUAAUAAAACAUUGUGUUUUAAUCAGAAGACAUUAUAUAACAGGACGUCAAACAUGAAUCUCAUUCAAAACAAAACCAAAUUAUGAGGCCAAACAACUUAAAAUUUUUAAGCAAUCAAGGUAUCGGUUAUGUGACACCAAAAAUCUAAAUUAAAAACUAGUUAGCUACUGAUCCUACAAGACUAACUUUGUAAUCAAGCGGAUCAAUAACUAGUUAACUACUGAUCCUACAAGACUAACUUUGUAAAUUAUCUACGUAUGUAUCGGUUCUUGAGUCCUUUAACAAAUGACAUAUGUGAUUGUGUCAUGUCCAAUUGUCCAUUGUGAAAAGAUUAACCCUAAUUAUUUGGCUACUAAACCUAAUUAGAUAAUCAUAUAUAAUAGAAAAAUCAAAACUGAAAAGUGAAAAUACAAUCAUAUUACCAUUUCAACUUUCAAUGACAGCAGAAUAGCAUCAGAUCAUCAACAGUGAAGAACAACAAUGCAUCGAUUCAGUGAAAAAGGAAGAAGAACGUGAAGAACAGUAGUGCAACGAUUAAUCAGCAAGAUAACGACUCAACAGAAGAGUAGAUUAGUAGAAGAAGCGAUUGGAGAAGGCCUAGAAUAGAGAAUGAGAAUGGAGAAAAAAAACGGAAGUUUAAUGGCCGUAUGUACUCGUCGCUUGAAGCCUUGAAGAAUCGAUCGGCACUAUGCAUGAUUUUUUUGGAAAUUGGAAACUACUAAGCUUGGAUCGAAAGAAAACAUGGCCCCUUACAAUNNNNNNNNNNNNNNNNNNNNNNNNNNNNNNNNNNNNNNNNNNNNNNNNNNNNNNNNNNNNNNNNNNNNNNNNNNNNNNNNNNNNNNNNNNNNNNNNNNNNNNNNNNNNNNNNNNNNNNNNNNNNNNNNNNNNNNNNNNNNNNNNNNNNNNNNNNNNNNNNNNNNNNNNNNNNNNNNNNNNNNNNNNNNNNNNNNNNNNNNNNNNNNNNNNNNNNNNNNNNNNNNNNNNNUAUAUAUAUAUAUAUAUAUAACCCCCAACCAUGUUAUGUUUACUUUACUACAUAGGGGCAUCCAACUGUUCGUCUAGAGUUGGAUCUUGUUGAGCUGGAAGAUCAAUUGACACAUCAAGUAUCCCUUCUAGAUAAAAUUGAUCCAAAGAUUGCCCCAUGUACAUAAAAAAUAUACUUAUAAAUGAAUUUUUCAUUAUGUAGGUGUAAAGUGUAAAAACAGUAUUUGUUGUGAUAAAUAUUUUCAAGAUGGAUCCUGAUUUCAUUGAGAAUGAAAAUAAGUAUGAAGACCUGUGUACCACUCGGUUCCUGGUACAUAUCUUAAUUAAAGUAAGUUUAUGUUUUGCUUUGGGACUCAGCGAGUUGGAGGCCUAACUCGUCGAGUAGACUCGAUUGUUGACCGGGAGUUUAAUGAUCUACUUGACAAGUCGGGAGACCGACUCAACGAGUAGAAACUGUCUGGAUGAAACCCUAAUAUUUGGGGUUUGCACCCUAUUUAAACAACUUAUAACGCCCCAACCCAGCCUCCAUUGUUCCUCCUAACCCAGAGAAAGCCCUAACUCGAACCCUAAGCCUCUUUUGAGUGUUCUUCAGCUUUUUAGUGACUUUUGUUUGCAUUUGAAGUUGGAAGAGAAGAGGGAAGCUUGGGAGUUCAAGUGGAAGCUAGUAAAUCCAGAGGUUUUGGUUUAUUCUCAAUUCAUUUAAGGGAAAAAGCUUGAACCUUGAGUAUCUAUCUCUUAGAUCUUGUUUUGGGGCUAUUUUCUACCCUUUUUAUGAGUUUGUGAAGUUAUAAUCGGAUUUUGUGAGUGUGUUUGGAGUUACACUUCAGAUCUGGAACCAUUGCGGGUUCCCAUGGCAUAAAGGUGCCAACUUUAUGGCCAUGAGAGACCCAUGCUUCUUAUAUACGUCUUUUAUGGUUUUUUGAGCCAAAAACCCCAUGCAUGGACGUCAAGAUUGGAACUUUAUGUAUAAAAUGGACCUUAGGAGGUCAGAUCUAUGGUUUUGAUGCAUUAAGACCCAUUGUAAUCGACUGAAUAGUUUUAGACAAAGAGGGACACGGCGAGUCGCUUAGGUGACUCGGCGAGUCGGGUCGCAUUUCCCCUCGAAUGUCUUCUGGUAAUGGUCUUUGGUUGAGUGGAAGGAACACUCAGCAUGUUAAGGAUUUGUUAUGGACUUGAAGAUCGAAGGACUCGACGAGUUUAAGGAGGAACUCGGCGAGUUCAAGGCAAUGUCCCAACCACAUGAAGACGGACCUGACGAGUUCAAGGAUGAACUCGGCGAGUCAUAGACUGAACACCUUCAUACGGAUGAACAUGGACUCGACGAGUUCAAGGAAGAACUCGGCGAGUCAGUAGAAGAAGGUCCCGAUGUUUUGUUGAAGGAGAACUUGUCGAGCACUUGCUAGACUCAACGAGUAGGGACGAGGUUGUAAUAUUUCGUGGAAGUGGGGACUCAACGAGUUGGUGGACCAACUCGGCGAGUCGAGUCAACCAGAUGUUGACUUUGACCAAGGUUUUGACCUUGACUUUAACUUGAACUUGAGUUGACCCUAGUACGGGUUAUGAGUAUGAAAUGGUAACUUAGAAAGGAUGUUGUGUAGGGAUCGAGGAGUCGAGAAGAUUUGAUUUCUGUACCGAGGAUAGUGCAGACACUACACGACAUUGAGGUGAGUUAAGUAGAAGUGGGUCUAAGGCACCAAGGUCGACCCACUAGUAGUUGAUUACAGUGGAGAUGAUUGUCUAUGUGAUAAUUGUCUGGUUUGCUAUUAUUUGAUGUGUUCUUUGUGCCAGUGUGAUAUGUUGUAUGUGCUAGUGGUAGUAGGAAGGGGAAUAGUCCCCGAUUUGGUCGUUAGGACCGAAGGGUAGGUCGGACACCCCAGAUAUGUCUGACUGCAUGAUUAUGAUAUAUUAUUAUGUGAUAGUAGUAAUGGGUGAAAUAGUCCCCGUGACCGGGUGAGAUAGACCGGAGGGUAGGCAGGCACCCCAGAAUGGCCUGACACGUGUAGGUCAGCACCUAAGAAUGGCUUGACAUGGGUAGGUUAGCACCCCAGAAUGGCUUGUGUAGGGUUUCAAAGUACUCCAUGUAUGAUGGCAAUGUGCCCCCUUAAUGAAGUGUAGGUUAAAAGCCCAAGACGUAUAUUUUCCCUAUAAAUAGUAAUGUAUUAUUCAUAAUUAGGGUUAAGAGUGAGACAAAAUGUAGCCUCCACGUUGUGAGGUUUCUUGUAGAGUUAGAUUCUUAUUCUUAAAGUGUAAUCUGUUCCUCAUGUUUUGAAUAAAUCGAGUGAUCAUUCGACAUAUCUUCGUAUUUGUGUUUGUUCUUAUUUUCCGCAUCUUGUUCAUCAAAUCACAAUUAGGGUUUUAAUCCCAACAAAUGGUAUCAGAGCGGGUCUUUGAAGAUCUAUUGAUUUUUGAAGUAUCGGUUGUUGAUUUGAUGUUUUUUUGCAAAAAUUAUUGAAGAUUUUUGGUAUUUUGGCAUCUUGGAAUCAAAAUUAUAUUCAAGUUACUGUUCAUGGAGAUUUAUGCUGUUCAUCUACUAUUCAUCUAGGUAAUUUAUUCUGAUUCAUAUUCUGUUUGUAUUUUCUAAUUAGAUAUGACCGAUUGUUCAAUCCAAGGCUAUUGCUUCCCAGAUCUAGGUCCAUUGAUUAAGCCCAAUUGUUUUUGACCUAUUGUUAUUCAUUCUAUGAAUCACUGUUCUUAAGCCCAAUGUAUUCGACUUUUGUUCAUAUGGUUUUGAGCUCGUUAUUAUCAAUCUCUUUUCACGGAUUUAUUCCGAUUCAUAUGCUGUUUGUAUUUUCUAACCAGGAUAUGAUCGAUUGUUCAAUCCAAGGCUAUUGCUUCCGAGAUCUAGGUCCAUUGAUUAAGCUCAAUUGUUUUUGACCUAUUAUUAUUCAUUCGAUGAAUCACUGUUCUUAAUCCCAAUAUAUUCGACUUUUGUUCAUAUGGUUUUGAGCCCGUUAUUAUCGAUAUUUGUUCACGGAUUUAGCGUUCUUUGAUAUCGUAUAUUCAGUCGACUCAUCUCAUAUCUGUAAAUGUCGUUUCUUGGAAUACUUUGAUGUCGUAUAUUGUGUUUUUCCCUCACUGUUAUUGAAUUAUGUUCUUGAGUCGAAAUUCCUGAACAAAACCAUUCUCAAAAUUGAUUUUGAUUCUCUUAUUUGAUUAUAUUUUCGGUCUAAUAUAUCAUAUUCCAAAAUUGAUUUAUGUUUGGAUCGCUAGUCGUUUUUGUUCUUGUUCUGGUGUUUUGUUCUUAACAUCGAUUCUGGUUGACAACUGGUAAUGAUUUCUCUAAAUCAUUUCUUGGUAUCAUCGGCUGUGAUUUUGGAUCUAGAGUUGUUCUUCAAUGUUGAUACUUUUUUUUUUGAGAACCGAUGACAUACAGACGAAGAACAGAUGGCAUUUUUGCUGAUUGAUAUGUGAUGUUUGAUUUGGAAAUCGACCUGUUUAGCUUGGAGAUUAAGUUGAGAAACAUUGAUUUUGUUGUUUAGUGAUGAUCGAUUUUGGUAGUCAAAGCAGAAAAGUCAAAAUUAGGAAGAACGGCCUCACAAGCAAUGUAAUCGGAUUUAAAGGUCUGGAAUCGCAACAUUCAUCUGCAAUCGGAGGAGAUUGAACAAAUGUUCUUACGAGUCAAGCCUAAAAGUUGAAUUAGCUUGAAUGUCCUUACCUGCGAACAUUAUCGGAUUCGUAGCUCCUUGAAACAUUAGAAAAAGCGAACCUCUUGAUUCGUUGUUGACAUAGAUUCGCUUUGGGGUAUAAUCGACGGCCUUGGAACGAACCUGGAAUGAACUUGGGUUCGCAUGAUUAUGCUUGGAACGAAUGAAGGGGGGACAGAAAACGAACUUGUGUUCGGAUUUGUCUCAAGAAUAUGUGAUUGGAUUCGAUUUGGAUAAGGAUUUGCAUUUGGUCUGUGAUCUGUUGAUUUGAAGCGAAAGGUGAUGGAAUCGAAUUCACAUCGUGAUGCUCGAAACGAACCUAGUUUCAAAUUUGUAUCAGUGAGCUUGGAAUGAAAGUUGAUGAAAUUGAUUGGAUUUGUAUAUGUGGUUUCGUUUGUGAACACUUAUAUGAGUCACCGAUCCAGU